GACGAACGCUGGCGGCGUGCUUAACACAUGCAAGUCGAACGGUGAAGCGCCUUCCUUUUUGGUGGGUGUGGAUGAGUGGCGAACGGGUGAGUAACACGUGAGUAACCUGCCCCCUUCUUCUGGAUAACCGCAUGAAAGUGUGGCUAAUACGGGAUAUUCUGGGUCUGUCGCAUGAUGGGUCUGGGAAAGAUAUUGUUUCGGUGGGGGAUGGGCUCGCGGCCUAUCAGCUUGUUGGGGGGGUGAUGGCCUACCCAGGCGGUGACGGGUAGCCGGCCGGAGAGGGUGGACGGUCACGCUGGGACUGAGACACCGCCCAGACUCCUACGGGAGGCAGCAGUGGGGAAUAUUGCACAAUGGGCGCAAGCCUGAUGCAGCGACGCCGCGUGAGGGAUGGAGGCCUUCGGGUUGUGAACCUCUUUCGCCAGUGAAGCAGGCCUGCCUCGUUUGUGGGUGGGUUGACGGUAGCUGGAUAAGAAGCGCCGGCUAACUACGUG
This 494-nucleotide ribosomal RNA is filed under the name uncultured bacterium. RNAcentral describes it as "partial 16S ribosomal RNA". It matches the Rfam family "Bacterial small subunit ribosomal RNA", at positions 28 to 507 of the family's 1533-position model. The record is from RNAcentral.